GCAAGUUCAUAAGAGCAAACGGUGAAUGCCUUGGCAUCUGGAGCCGAAGAAGGACGUCGUAAUCUGCGAUAAGCCUCGGGGAGCUGAUAAACGAGCUGUGAUCCGAGGAUUUCCGAAUGGGGAAACCCCGCCAGGCCCCUUGUGGUGACCUGGUGACUCCCGCCUGAAUAUAUAGGGCGGGUAGAGGGAACGUGGGGAAGUGAAACAUCUCAGUACCCACAGGAAGAGAAAACAACAGUGAUUCCGUCAGUAGUGGCGAGCGAACGCGGAAGAGGCUAAACCGAGUCAUGUGUGAUACCCGGCAGGGGUUGCAUGGCCGGGGUUGUGGGACUUUUCGUUCCGGUCUGCCGGCCGGUGAACGUUACAGCGCAUCAUAGACGAACAGGUUUGAACGCCUGGCCAGAGCGGGUGCGAGCCCCGUAGUCGAAAUGGUGUUAUGGCGUGAGGAGUAUCCCAAGUAGCACGGGGCCCGAGAAAUCCCGUGUGAAUCUGUCAGGACCACCUGAUAAGCCUAAAUACUCCCAGAUGACCGAUAGCGGACAAGUACCGUGAGGGAAAGGUGAAAAGUACCCCGGGAGGGGAGUGAAAUAGUACCUGAAACCGUUUGCUUACAAACCGUCGGAGCCUCCUUGUAGGGGUGACGGCGUGCCUUUUGAAGAAUGAGCCUGCGAGUUAGUGCUCUGUGGCGAGGUUAACCCGUGUGGGGCAGCCGUAGCGAAAGCGAGUCCGAAUAGGGCGAUUCAGUCGCAGGGUCUAGACCCGAAGCGAAGUGAUCUAUCCAUGGCCAGGUUGAAGCGACGGUAAGACGUCGUGGAGGACCGAACCCACUUCAGUUGAAAAUGGAGGGGAUGAGCUGUGGAUAGGGGUGAAAGGCCAAUCAAACUUCGUGAUAGCUGGUUCUCUCCGAAAUGCAUUUAGGUGCAGCGUUGCGUGUUUCUUGCCGGAGGUAGAGCUACUGGAUGGCCGAUGGGGCCCAAAAGCUUACUGACGUCAGCCAAACUCCGAAUGCCGGUAAGUGAGAGCGCAGCAGUGAGACUGUGGGGGAUAAGCUUCAUAGUCGAGAGGGAAACAACCCAGACCACCAACUAAGGUCCCUAAGCGCGUGCUAAGUGGGAAAGGAUGUGGAGUUGCACAGACAACCAGGAGGUUGGCUUAGAAGCAGCCACCCUUGAAAGAGUGCGUAAUAGCUCACUGGUCAAGUGAUUCCGCGCCGACAAUGUAACGGGGCUCAAGCACGCCACCGAAGUUGUGGCAUUGACAUUAGUGGUAGGCCUUCGUGGUCCAGCCGUGUUGAUGGGUAGGAGAGCGUCGUGUGGCGAGUGAAGCGGCGGUGUGAACCAGCCGUGGAUGCCACACGAGUGAGAAUGCAGGCAUGAGUAGCGAAAGACGGGUGAGAAACCCGUCCUCCGGAAGACCAAGGGUUCCAGGGUCAAGCUAAUCUUCCCUGGGUAAGUCGGGACCUAAGGCGAGGCCGACAGGCGUAGUCGAUGGACAACGGGUUGAUAUUCCCGUACCGGCGAAGAACCGCCCAAGACAAUCCAGUAGUGCUAAGUAUCUGAAUCCCUUUGAUGGAUCCCUUCGGGGUGAAGCGUUGGGCCUAGCGUACGACCCCGUGCUGGUGCGUUUAGCGUAUUAACAGGUGUGACGCAGGAAGGUAGCCGAGCCGGGCGAUGGUUGUCCCGGUCUAAGGAUGUAGGGCGAACGAUAGGCAAAUCCGUCGUUCAUAUAGCCUGAGAUCUGAUGGGUAGACGCAAGUCGAAAUCGGUGAUCCUAUGCUGCCAAGAAAAGCAUCGACGCGAGGUUCUAGCUGCCCGUACCCCAAACCGACUCAGGUGGUCAGGUAGAGAAUACUAAGGAGAUCGAGAGAAUCGUGGUUAAGGAACUCGGCAAAAUGCCCCCGUAACUUCGGGAGAAGGGGGGCCUGAGGCGUGAACGGACUUGCUCCGGGAGCGUUCGAUGGCCGCAGAGACCAGUGGGAAGCGACUGUUUACUAAAAACACAGGUCCGUGCUAAGUCGCAAGACGAUGUAUACGGACUGACGCCUGCCCGGUGCUGGAAGGUUAAGAGGAACGGUUAGCCGCAAGGCGAAGCUGAGAAUUUAAGCCCCAGUAAACGGCGGUGGUAACUAUAACCAUCCUAAGGUAGCGAAAUUCCUUGUCGGGUAAGUUCCGACCUGCACGAAUGGCGUAACGACUUCCCAGCUGUCUCAACCGCGAACUCGGCGAAAUUGCAUUACGAGUAAAGAUGCUCGUUACGCGCAGCAGGACGGAAAGACCCCGUGACCUUUACUAUAGUUUGGUAUUGGUGUUCGGUGUGGCUUGUGUAGGAUAGGUGGGAGACGUUGAAGCGGGCACGCUAGUGUUCGUGGAGUCAUUGUUGAAAUACCACUCUGGUCACUCUGGAUAUCUAACUUCGGACCCUAAUCGGGU
Molecule: ribosomal RNA, 2429 nt
Filed under: Rathayibacter sp. AY1B7
Lineage: Bacteria; Bacillati; Actinomycetota; Actinomycetes; Micrococcales; Microbacteriaceae
Description: bacterial LSU rRNA
Rfam family: Bacterial large subunit ribosomal RNA
Source: RNAcentral